UUGAAAGGAAAAUGGAAGACGAAGGAUCACCGGCAUCUGCUAAGUAUCGCGGGACGUCCUAUCAAGGCUACUCCACUGAUGAAACUGACUCGCGCCAACGGUCACGCCAUGCGUCGGAGGGGAGUAGCACAAAGUCAUUCCUCAUACUCGGACUCAUUUUCCUGGCAUCGUUGCUAGCCUUGGGAGUUGUGUAUCUCAACUUCCCAAAGCUGGAUCAAGAUGAAGUUCAGUAUAUUAAACUACCUAGAGAUAUUGAUGAUGCGAAAAAUUUGGGAAGAGUUUUGUCAAGAUACAAGGACAGAUAUUUUUACCAAGUUUUAAUUGGCGUUUUUGUUAUGUAUAUAUUUUUACAAACAUUUGCUAUACCAGGAUCUAUAUUUCUCAGCAUAAUCUGUGGCUAUCUAUUCUCCUACUACAUUGCUCUAUUCGGUGUUUGUCUGGCAUCAGCUGUAGGUGCUUCCUUCUGUUAUUUGUUGUCAUAUUUGGUUGGAAGAAGACUGGUGAGGAAGUAUAUCCCCGAGCGAGUAGCCCAGUGGAGGUCACAUGUUGAAAAGAACCGUGAACACCUGCUCAACUACAUGAUCUUUCUGCGAAUCACUCCAUUCCUCCCCAACUGGUUUAUCAACAUCACUGCCCCAGUCAUAGACGUGCCUCUCCCACCUUUCUUCUGGGGAACCUUUAUAGGAGUUGCUCCACCUUCCUUCGUAGCAGUCCAGGCAGGAACGACCUUGUACAAGUUGACCUCGUCAGGGGAUGCUGUGUCAUGGACGUCUGUUAUUGUACUAGCUGCAUUAGCUAUCCUCUCUCUGCUACCUGUUGUUUUCAAGAAACGGUUACAAAAGAAAUUUGAUUGACAUCAGUCACCUAUUAGGCAUUCUUGUGUGUGAGGAGAAUGACAGAUCUGUCUGAUUCUGUGUAUGUGUCUGUUACCAUGGUUGCCCAUGUAUUUGAUGUACUGAUAAACAGUUUCCUCACUUAAACUGCAUUUAAUGUCACGGGUCAUCAGAAGCUGUGUAGUUGUGCCAGACCAUUUUGUAUACAUCAAGGUGGUAUUGUUCACUGAUCUUCAUGGUAUUCUUGGUUGACUUGAAAGACAUGGUCAAAUCUCAAAAUGCAAGAAACUCACCACUGGCCUGUCUAGGCGUGUCCAAAUCAGGAUCUGUUUGCUAAUAUGGAUGUCUUUUGUUACCAAUUAUAAUUGGAUGACAAUUUAUAUUUGAAGUGAUUAUUUUCAGUGUAUGAACAUAAGACCGAAACAAGUCAGCUGGUAUUGUUGUACUAACCCUAUCUGACAGAGAUCUGACGUGGCCUCUAGUUCCAUGUCUUCAUAUCCACAUUCAGUAUGUGCGUAUUAUCAUGGAAAUGUCUACAUUGUGUUGGACGGUUGUCACAUGUAAUAGAACAAUGGAAAUGUACUAAAGUUGUGAUUUAAAUACAUCGUAUAUAUUUGUUUGAAAGCGUAUGGUAAAAAUCUUGUCUAUUUUUUUAUUGCCAACUAUUUGUAGUGUUUGGGGAAGUGUGCAAUCAGUACAUGGCUGAGGUUUUAUAGAAUAUAUAAAUUAAUGUCCUUGUUGAACAAUGUGUGAAUAAAUUCUGUUAAGUAGUUUUUGAACGUUUUAGAAAUCCUUAGUUUCAUUCUUGCUAUUUGAGAAUAUUUACUGAGUUGAAACUGUUGAAGCCUUAGAAUAGCUUAACAUUGGUACCAGUUUUGGUCAGGACAGAGGUUCUACUCUCAUGAACUGGAAGUACUGGGGACCAACCAUUAAGAGUUGAGAUUUCACAGUACUGAUCUUUUCCUACCUUUGUAUUCUUUUUACAACCAAGUAUUGCAGAAUAGCAUUUUACAUGUUUACUAUUAUACUUUCAUGCCUGUAUGCUGUUCAUAGUUUAUAUGAGUUCCAUACUUAAGUUCCAUUUAAUAUGUAGUAAAUUCCAUUUAAGCAUGUAGUAAAACCCUGUCUAUCUGGAAACCUCCCCUUCAGGCCAAAAGGGGUGUCUGCUCUGUGCUUUUCAUUAUUUAUUUAAUCUGUAACUAUAUUUACCCAGGUGUUUAAGUUUAUGGACGUUGUGUCUUAUGCAACCUUGAAGAGAGCUCAGGCAGCUGGCAGUAGCUUAGUACUUGUAACUACAUCACUAGCCAUUACUUAGUAUUUAUCAGGGUCAUUUCUUAGAUACUUCCAUAUUCGGACAUCUAUUUCAGCAUCAGUUUCAGCAUCACUGUUAAAAAUGUAGUUGAUUACUGGAUAGACAUAUUAACCUUAUCAGAGAUCUACAAUAUUUUCUGCAGAAUGAUUUGGAUUCAUGAUAAAUUAUUUUAUUUUAUUCAUCAUAAACUUUAUCGGUCAAAAUGAAAACAUUUUCCACAUGUGGUAUUUUUGUUUUUAGAAUGUACCUGUGUGUUUUGACCACUCAUUCUGGUCUGAAUGACUAGUUUGCACUUUGUUUCAGAGAUAAGUAUCCCUGGGUCUUCUCCUGGUGUAUAACAAUUCACUUUAUUGUACAAAUAAGGAUGGGUAGAAAGUGUUCCAAUUCUACAAACCAUUUUGAUAUUAGAAUUAUGUAAAAUAAGACAUUUGACCUUUGAAUACCUGGUUUAAUGGUUUGGAUGAAAGUCCAUAAAAAUGCAAUAUUUUAUUUUAGACAACUUUCAUUUUCUUCAUCCCAAGUCUCAGUGAUGACAAAUAUUUUGGAGCAGAUGAAGAAACCAUCUGACUUGUAAAACACACUUUCUUUACUGUCACAUCAUUUGUUAUUUCAUCUAAUCAAAUUACUUUUAAGUGUUAACAUUUAUUUUUUUAAAUUUAUCUUGUGUUGCCCAUUACAUGCAUCUGUAAACCAAGUAAGACGCUAAUGGAGUCAUUGUAUUUGGUUUCAGUAUUUGUCCUAAAUACCUCCAUGUCAGAACCAUAUUUAGGUGUUAUUUAUGUAUUUAAAAAAAAAAUUAUGGUGAAAAUAAAUAUGCAGACAUUA
Molecule: unclassified non-coding RNA, 2970 nt
Filed under: Haliotis rubra (blacklip abalone)
Lineage: Eukaryota; Metazoa; Mollusca; Gastropoda; Lepetellida; Haliotidae
Description: transmembrane protein 41B-like, transcript variant X3
Source: RNAcentral